UACGAGUGUUAGUUACUGUGUUUGUUACUGAAUAGAAGAAUUGAUAGUUUACUGUGAUGAUGAACGCAAUAAUUAGACGAUUAGAUGUCCACAAUAUGCAUUUUUAAUUUGUAACACGUAUAUUACAAUCAAACAGUGUGAGGUCAGACUGAGUCGGGUCGGUGUCUAACGCGUCGUAGGUUCUGAAGUUCGUUGAGAACGGCUGGACGGAGCCUGGAACGUUUCCUCCUCCGGCUCUCACAUCAUCAUCUAUAAACACAGAUAUCAGUAUUUAUUAUUUUAUGCACAUCACAUAUACAUUCACAUGCAAGAGCUGAACACGAGUUCAUUAAUAAUACAUUUUUCAGGUUUGCAGAUCACUGUAUUGUCAUAUUUAAAUGUUGGUGUUGAGCGAGUGUAUGUAUUCAGCUGUGAUUCAUUAUAAAUGAGUGUUAAAAAUGAAGGUAGUAAAUGAAGGAUUGUGCGUGGUGACAGACAGCGUUAGUGUAGUGGGGUGUGUGUCGUGGUUAAAACGUCACCCUUAUUAACCACGUGGCCAAUGGGCGCUCUCCCUACCACAGUAUAUAAGUGGUUGUUUACGCCUCUCAGAAUGUGUCAUGGUCGAAAAGCCCGCCCCUUCCUUUCGUUGCUAUGGACUACAGAGGUAUGUGUUUUUAGCUUUGUUGCUUAGCUGUUACAUGCGAUGCUAGCGUUGUCUAUUUACCAUGCGAUUUACUUGUUUAGUGUGACGUUGGGCUACUGAGACUGUGUGCAGGGUGUGAUGUGCCGCUCACAAUCAGUGCGCUGUGCCGUCAAGGCUCCCAACUGUGUAGCAUGGUAGUUUAAUGUAGCUCCGGUCGGAGCGCCCGCUGUCGUCGUCACAACUAUUAAAGACGCUAUCAUGAUUUUCGUAUGUGCCAUCGUGAGUACCAGGUCAUCGGAUCACGGGUCCUCAAUUUUGCAGUGCGUUACGGCGGGCUGAGUGAGAUGUGGUCGUUUCGGUAUAGCUCCUCCCCCUCACUCGGGCCACGUUGCUGCUUUGGGGCUGCUUGAUUCUGCUUGAUGUUUUGAUUUGUUUUUAUUGUUUUAUGUUUUGUUUUGUUAUUUUGCUUUGUGUUGGUUGCUGUCACUGAGAUCAGUUUUCUUUAACUCAGCUGUGUUGUAACAGUCUUUAUCAGUUAUGCUGGUACUGCUAUGUGGUAGUAGUGGUUGUGGUCAGCUUUGGUAAACUUGCUACCUGUAAUCAGUUUGAGCUCGGGGUUAUCUGUGUUUUUGUGACAGUAAGCUUGUCUUUGUUUUAUUUCAUUCUUUUGUUCGUCUGCUUUGAGCUUAUUGUAAUUAACUUUGUGUUUUGUUUUCUCCUUGUAGGAGCUGAGUGUUUCCUGAGGUUUGGGGGGGGGGGGGGGGGUUCUUUGCUGCACCUUAGGCUUUACUUCAUUAAGGGUGGUUAUUAUUGCUGUGUUUAUUCUCAGUGAAUUUUGUGGGUAUGAUUCUGAUUAGUGGGGUGCUUUUCCCUUUUGUAUAGCUGGUGCUGUCGUACUAGCCUGCCCUUCAUACAGGAAGCCUCAGUCCUCCUAUGAUUAUUAUUAAUUUCCUCUUGUGAUUGUUUUAUUUGACCAAUGCCUGACUGUGUUGGAUGUUGCUUCUUUUAAAAAUAAUUCUUGGCCAGUCAUUUUAACGUAAAAAUAAAAUGUAUUUUUGUAUGGAAACCCAUGCCUCAUGCCUGUUCUAAGUGGAACGUACUUGUGUGUCUUUAUUUGGGUUAUUUUCCCCGUUUUCUCGGGGUGGCGUAGUUGGUACAAAACAAACGAGCCGCAUAGCUACAUGUGGCGUAGUUGUUGCAAAAAACGAGUCACAUUGCUACACGUGGCGUAGUUGUAGAGCGAAACGAGCCGCAUUACUACACAUGGCGUAGUCGGCAGGAUUUACAAAAAACAAGCUACUCUUAUCUCAUUAUUUAACAGAAAUGUCACGUUUUGGGUGACGAACCUUGACGCGUGAACAGGUUCCUGCUCCUCUUCCACGGCGUUAAUCUGCAGACAGACAGAUGUCCAACAACCGCCUGAAACAAACAACAACAAAUAUCAACAUCUAUCAUUUUUCUACAGUUGAGCGCAAAAGUUUACGUCCCCAAUGGCUUUCAAAUGUUUUGGGGGAAAAAAGCCUAACGAUGACCUCCUUCACCUGCAUCAACACGUCUUUGGACCGAAUAUUAAGAUUUCUCAUGAACAGAUACCGAAUGCAAAUUCAACACUUGGAAUCGACUCAAGACUUUUUAUCUCCUUAAUUUGUCAUGAAAUAACGAGGAAACAGGUCACACCUGGCCAUGAAACUGCUUACCAGUCAAUUGUCCCAUUACUUUUGAACCGUGUAAAUGGAGGGACUCUGUAAAAAAAAAAAAAAGGCUGUAAUUCCUAAACGGUUAAAAUGCUAUGUCAUGUAGAUGUGUUAUGUUGUAUUUUACACCUAAAAUGUUAAUGAAGCACAUUACAUAUUAAAAGAAUUUUGAAUGCAGCAGUAAUGUUUUUAACCUUAAUUACUUAUAAACUAUCUAAAAAUCUGUGUGUG
Long non-coding RNA from Ictalurus punctatus (channel catfish), 2547 nucleotides. The record is from Ensembl. Lineage: Eukaryota; Metazoa; Chordata; Actinopteri; Siluriformes; Ictaluridae.